Molecule: long non-coding RNA, 5058 nt
Organism: Cercocebus atys (sooty mangabey)
Lineage: Eukaryota; Metazoa; Chordata; Mammalia; Primates; Cercopithecidae
Exons: 5
Source: RefSeq, a predicted model, not a curated record
CUGGGCUCAAGUGAUCCACACUCCUCAGGCUCUCAAAGUGCUGGAUUUACAGGCAUGAGCCUCCUCACCCAGCCUCCUUCUUGGUCUUAAAUGCCACCCGGUUGUGGGAGUCAGGCCACACCUCACCACCAGGGGUACUUGCAGUUAUGUGAAGACUUUCCUACAGUGAAGAACCACCGCUCAAUUUAAGUGGUGGUCAAAUCCCAAUUUUCCUCCACUCUGGUAGAGGUUAAAAGACUAGAGAGGCCAAGAUGAGAAGUUAGUGUGGGCCCGAGAGACUGUUUUAAGUCGAGGGUACCUUAAGAGUGUUGUCAAUCAAGGUCCCGUGGAUGCAGAUGGCACAUUCAGGGAGAGGGAGACCAGCAAGGGAUGCAGGGCGCCAGGAGAGCCCCAGAUCUGAGGGGAGGGGAGGGGAAGGGAGGUGUUCCGGAACUCCGAGACCUGUGGCAUGGGAGACUUGGCAAGAGCUUCACUCCAAGGUAGAGGAAGGAACAAACCAUUGUAAAACUGAGGCCCUGCGGGGAGGGAGCCCACUGGUGCGAUCCAGAGCUGUCAGCCUCCCCAGGCACUGCGUGGCCAGGGCUUGGAGAGAAGAGGCAGCAAGGUGGGGGUGAGCUUGGCUCAUAGGGGUCAGCGAGGAAAGCAGAGGGGUGGGGGUGGGCAGUGGGUCAGGCCUGGUCCCACUUGGGAUCUGGGGGAGACAGCAGCCCCGCCCUGCUUAUUUCCCUUGAGCCCUCUGGUGGUGGAUGGAGCCGGCCCCCUGGUUUAGAUCCUUGGACAGGGGACCAGAGUAGGGCAAGGUGAGGAGAGUUGUGAUCAGGGAGCCAGACCCAAUUUGGCUUCAUGACAUCUUUUAGUUGGAGAUUAUGUUUUCCAUGGGAAAGUAUUUGAACACAGUGGUGGCAGUUCCUGGCAGGAGACCUCAAGAGGAGAGUGAGUCGGGGGGCUGCAGAAUGCAGUGGGAAUGGCACACCUCCCUGCUGGGGCCCUCACUGUGGGCUGGAGCUCAGUGUGCUGUGUCAGCUCCUGGGUCUCCACACUGGACCUGAACAGGCUGAGUUCCUGAGGGCAGCACAUCCUUGCUCAUUCCCCAGGCCCUGGUACCUAGGGCGGCAUUGGGCAUGGGCUUGGAGUACAUACGUGGAUGGAUGAGGCAGUGGCUGGCUGAACCAGUCUUCACUCAGGGACACAUCAUUUCACGGGGUCCCUUGGGGUGUCACCCACCUGCUGCUGCUGUACUUAAAGGGCCACAAGGCCAUGUGGGGCCACCUCAUUCCUGAGCAGUACGGUUUGGGACCUGGCUUUGAUGGGCCUCCACCUUCUCACUACUCCCACCCCCAGCCCGUCUGCUCUCAGUACUGCAAGAGCCACGAUGGCUUCAGGCAUUCCUGCUGAUCUGCCUGAACAGUCAGCGAAGGCAGCCCCACAGUGGGGAGAAACGGCUGCUUGCUCAGCUCCCUCUGCUCCAAGUCACAGACCUUGUCUCCACUCAUGGGCUGUUCCCAGUCCUCACACAACGCUUACAUGCCACCCUCCAACCUUGGUGCACACGUCCUCUAGCCAUGUAUGUGUGUGUAUGUGUGUGUAUGUGUAUGUGUGUGUAUGUGCCUGUGCGUGUAUGUGUGUGUGCACAUUGCUCUGCCUUGCUGCACUCUGUGCAUCCUCUAAUCCUCCACAGCCUGGCUCAGGCCACCUCAGGCCCUCCCACUGAGAGCACCCCUGGCCGGUUGGCUAAGCUCCGUGUCCCUUCUUCCCCCUUCCAGCCUCCCACUGCAUGACUCACCCAGCGCCAGCCUUGGUGCUUUCCCUCCCAGUGGCUCUCGGCUCCGUCCCCUUUUCUUCAUCUCCACGGGGCCUCAUGACUCUUGUCCCAGUUCUCCUAGCUCCUGAAGUGCAGGUGUGACUGGGUGACUCUCCUGCCUAAAGCCCUUUAGGAAUAUCCCCAUGCUUUCUGGCAGAAACCACAUCUCCUGCCCAUCCCGUGUCCCACUUCCCCUUGCUCUGGAUCCUUGCCUCACUGCAGUUUGGUUCCUGAAUUCCUCUCCCCUCCUCCCCACACAACCUUCAUGUUCGCUGUGUCCUUGGUCUGGGCUGCUAUCUCCCAGCCUGCCUGGCGCUCAGUUAUUUAGUGUUCCUCCUGCUGGAAUGCCCAGGGGGACCCGUUCACUGACACGUUGCUUCUCCCACGGAAGCUUCCCUGUCUCACGUCAGAUGCCUGUUUGUGCACUGUCAUACCCCCAAUACCUCUUCCUCGCCCUACUGCUAACUAAUUAAGUUACCAUGGAGCUAGCGGCUUAGCAUCUCCUCCACUGACAUGUAAAAUCUGCAAUGGCAGGAUUGUGUAUCUUGUUUACAGCUCUGAACUGAGGCUCUCCAUAAUAUUUAUUUUUUGCAGUUUCAGUAACUAGAAGCAAUAUUUUUUCAUAAAUGAACAGGGCCCUAAGCUAUAACAGACACAGCCGCAGCUUCCUAAAAGCCUCUGACCAAUUAGCAAGGCUGGCUCCAUUCCCUUUAGAUACGGCCGUUCUGAAUCCUAUCUGACCCUGUCCUGUCUUCCCACCUUGAGACUUGCCAAGGACAGGGCCUGGCCCUAGUCAUCCAUGAUUGCUGACAUCAGUGGGGAAACCAGGACACUUCUGGGUCACUUCCUAUAGGGCACCGAUUGCUACCUAGGGCACCAGGGACCCUGGCUUUAGGAGGAUUUUUUUAAUAAUAUUGCGUCCCUACACACAGGUCAGAGGUUGAUCUCAGAAAGGUUAAGAAACAUGCUCUAGGGCUUUGUCGCCAAGUCGGGUGGUAGGCAGCUGCCUUGUAACUGUCACCCUGCACUUCUCCUUCUCCCGUGCCUGCUGUGUGCCAGGAUCAUUAGCACUCUGUCCUAGAUCCCUUGUGAGCAUUGUUCUCCUGGCUUAGACCUCACUUCUCCCCAUCCCAGGUUCAUGGUUCUCUGGGUACGAACUUGCAAAGAUGCCUGACAUCCCAGAGCAAUCAUAAACAGACCCAGGUCUUGGCCGACUUACAGAAAACGACAUCAACACACAAAGACUCCCCCUCCUCAGCCUCCCCCGCCACGUGCAGGCACACACACAUGCACACGCACACGCACACGCACAUGCACAUCGGGACACAGCCAGAAUACAGGGAGGGGAGUCUCAGAGUCGUGGUGCUGAUGCUGGCUCUGCCCUUCGCUGACCCUCCUAGCCCUGCUGCCUCAGUCCCCCACCAGUGUCCACAAUGCAGGGCUCCACUCAGCCUUGCCUGCAGCUGGGCACACACACAAACUUGAUCCCCAUGUGUGUAGCUCACAGGCUGAGUUCCAGAUCAAUGCGUGGGUCCUCACCCGGCCAGGCGUCCUGCUUGUCUCCUGCCCACCAUGUCCCUAUAGUAACAUAAUGGGGCCUUUAUUAUCCCCCAGACACUGUGCUAGGUUCUUAGAGACAUUUUCUCAUUUAUUCCCAAUUGGGGCAUGUGGUUGGUGAUAUUAUUAUUUCAAUUUUACAGGAAAGGGAACAUCACAGAAAGGUGAAGAAAUUUGCCCUAAAUCAUAAAACUUUGUAAGUGGCAGAACAAGGAUUUGAAGCUGGCAGUCUGGCUCCAGAAUCUUGCUCUGCCCUGCCCCGCACCCCAGGAGGUUGGCCCCAUGCUCUGCAUCACCCCGACUCCCUUCCCCUCUGGCUCCAAGCUAGAUUCAGCCAACGGGAGACACCAGCAGAAGAUGGAAGGCUGGGAGGAGAGGCUGGGAUCUGUCUCCUCCACUCUCUGCCUGUCUCGGGGCCUCCAGGACUUCAGCUUCCACUGGGCAGCCUCCCCUUGGACUCUGUGACCACCAUUUUUUGCCAUUAUCCCCUUGAUCCUAAGGGUGGUAACAGCUUCCUGCUAUUGCCAACUGCUGGGUGCCUCAACAUCCUUUGUUGGUUUCCUUAAACUUGUCUGCAUCUCUGUAAAUCAUCCUUUACUAAAUAGCCCUUCAUCUGAAGCGUCAGUAUGAAUGCCGUUCCUGCCAGGACUCUGACCAGUGCACAUGCAAUGCAGUGGAAUGCAGCUGAAAGGAGUGUUGACACCAGAUUCAAAUUUAGAAAGCAUUUGAAAGCGUGGUCUAAUAAUGUCUCCAUGGAAGAGGAAGAACGUGCUGACAAAGGAAGUGACGAAGCUCCCCAGGACCUGGUGCACCCCAUGUCUCCUGGAGGGUGACCGCUAGCUGGCAAAGCCUGUCCCUGUGUUGUAGGUCAGAUUCUCCAGAGGGAGAAGCAGACGGGCCAGAAGCUGGGUCAGUUUCUCUUUAUGGUUAACAUGAAAGAGCUUUAAAUAAAACAUGCCAAGGAAGAAGAUAAGCUGGGACUCCAGAUUCGGGAAAGAUGGAAAAAGGUAAGGUGCUGUAGGCAAAAAAGUGGCCCUCUCGAAAGAUGUCCCCACUUUAAUGCCCAGAGUCUGUGAGUAUGUUAGUUUACAUUGCAAAGGGGAAUUAAGGUUGAAGAUGGGAUUAAUCAGCAGACCUUCAAAUAAGGAGAUCACGCAGGGUCCUUGCAAGCUGGAGAGGGAGGCAGAAGAGGAGGCCAGGGAAUGCUAUGAGGCAGGUGCCUCCAGAAGCUGGAAUACACAGGGAGACAAGUUCUCACCUCAGAGCCUCGAGGAAAUACUUUGAUUUUAGCCCAGCGAGACCCAGGUGGGACUUCCUAACCACAGAACUGUCAGAUGAUACAUUCAUCUUGUUUAAGUCACCAAGGUUAUGGUAGUUUGUUAUGUCUGCAGUAGAAAACUAAUAUGGACGGAUAGAGAGGAAAGGACUGAAAACAAGACAGAGAAGGCCUAAAGCAGUGAGCUGGAGAAAAAGGCCAUUCUGGGGUCAGAAAGACUCAGGACAAGUUGGAUCCGAUUCUUCAUGGGGCACCCUGGGCCUCGGGGUGGGGUAGAGGCAAAAGACAUCUCCCCUUGCUGGCCAUUCUAGCAUUCAGGACCAGCUACAUAAUUUGGGGAGCCCAGUACAAAAUGAAAAUGCAGGGCCCCUUGUGUAAAGUUAUUAAAUGGGAGGAUCGCUUGAACCUGGGAGGCGGAGGUUAC